This is a long non-coding RNA of Phragmites australis (common reed), 387 nucleotides long. RefSeq lists it as uncharacterized. The transcript is spliced from 2 exons. Lineage: Eukaryota; Viridiplantae; Streptophyta; Magnoliopsida; Poales; Poaceae. The record is from RefSeq and is a predicted model, not a curated record.
UCACCAUUAUUGCCAUUCCUACAACCAUAGAGUGUUGUGCUAACUAUCUCCUCCUUUGUGCAGUAUCCAUCAGAGGGAUCGAAUACGCCUGGAGCUGGAGGUUCGCACUUUGGUACUCCACCUCACUUUGGUUAAGGUGGUAAUCAAGUGUGGAGUCCGUUACGGCCUGCAACAUUUUCUUUUUGUUUGGACUAUGUUUUGCUAUCUUGUCACGACAAUUUGUCAUGUUUGUGUCACUUGCGAUGUUUAUGCGACGGUUUAUGUGAUGUUUGUGGCAUAUGUGAUGCGACGGUUUAUGUGAUGUUUGUGUAAUAUGCGAUGUUUAUGUGAAGGUGGUAAUCUGUGAAAUAUGUAUAAAUUAUUUUGAAUUGCAGCGACAGUUUUGAA